This 249-nucleotide long non-coding RNA is filed under the name Elaeis guineensis (African oil palm). Its description in RNAcentral is "long non-coding RNA (EGUI_LNC012318)". Lineage: Eukaryota; Viridiplantae; Streptophyta; Magnoliopsida; Arecales; Arecaceae. The record is from RNAcentral.
CUAACUUAAAGUUUCGGGAUGGGAUGGUCACAUGACCAAUGCCUUAGGAGGUCGAGUCUGCAUUGUGUGAGGAGUCUUUUUAGACUGAUCUUCGACUUUUGCUGCAUUCCUUCAUUAGCAAUGUUUUCGAUUUCUAUAAGGUUCUUCCGACUCAGAUCACUCCAAACUCCACUCGGAUGAUUAUCAUUUGCUUUGUAACUGGCUCGGUAUCAUUCUGAGAUACUCUAUCUUUAUAUCUUCGUUCACCUU